GCCCCUGUAGCUCAGUGGAUUAGAGUGCGACGUUGCGGACGUUGAGGUCGAAGGUUCGAGUCCUUCCAGGGGCG
This 74-nucleotide transfer RNA is filed under the name Candidatus Daviesbacteria bacterium. RNAcentral describes it as "tRNA-Arg". It matches the Rfam family "tRNA". From Rfam's summary of the family: Transfer RNA (tRNA) molecules are approximately 80 nucleotides in length. Their secondary structure includes four short double-helical elements and three loops (D, anti-codon, and T loops). Further hydrogen bonds mediate the characteristic L-shaped molecular structure. tRNAs have two regions of fundamental functional importance: the anti-codon, which is responsible for specific mRNA codon recognition, and the 3' end, to which the tRNAs corresponding amino acid is attached (by aminoacyl-tRNA synthetases). tRNAs cope with the degeneracy of the genetic code in two manners: having more than one tRNA (with a specific anti-codon) for a particular amino acid; and 'wobble' base-pairing, i.e. permitting non-standard base-pairing at the 3rd anti-codon position. The record is from RNAcentral. Lineage: Bacteria; Candidatus Daviesiibacteriota.